Molecule: ribosomal RNA, 475 nt
Filed under: uncultured Lachnospiraceae bacterium
Lineage: Bacteria; Bacillati; Bacillota; Clostridia; Lachnospirales; Lachnospiraceae
Description: bacterial SSU rRNA
Rfam family: Bacterial small subunit ribosomal RNA
Source: RNAcentral
CCAAGGCGACGAUCGGUAGCCGGACUGAGAGAGUGAACGGCCACAUUGGGACUGAGACACGGCCCAGACUCCUACGGGAGGCAGCAGUGGGGAAUAUUGCACAAUGGGGGAAACCCUGAUGCAGCGACGCCGCGUGAAGGAAGAAGAUUUUCGGAAUGUAAACUCCUAUUAUCGAGGAAGAUAAUGACGGUACUCGACUAGGAAGCCCCGGCUAACUACGUGCCAGCAGCCGCGGUAAUACGUAGGUCACAAGCGUUAUCCGGAAUUACUGGGUGUAAAGGGAGCGCAGGCGGUGAAGACAAGUUGGAAGUGAAAUCUAUGGGCUCAACUCCUAUAGACUGCUUUCGAAACUGUUUUUCUUGAGUAGUGCAGAGGUAGGCGGAAUUCCCGGUGUAGCGGUGGAAUGCGUAGAUAUUGGGAGGAACACCAGUGGCGAAGGCGGCCUACUGGGCACCAACUGACGUUGAGGCUCGAA